CCCUUAGACGCUCUAGGCGGCACGCGCGCUACAAUGGGUGGUAGAACGUGUAACUGCUCCCGAAAGGGAGGGUGAACCACGAAUACUUACCCGUGAAUGGGAUAGUUUGUUGCAAUUUUCGGACUUGAACUAGGAAUCCCUUGUAAGAAUGCUCAAGAAUAGCGUGCUGAAUACGUCCCUGCCGUUUGUACACACCGCCCGUCGUUCCUACCGAUUGAGUGGUCCGGUGAGGCUUUGGGAUCUGAGCGGAAAGAGCGUUUCGCUGUUUCUGCUCGGAAAACUCAGUCGAACCUUAUCAUUUAGAGGAAGGAGAAGUCGUAACA
RNAcentral lists this ribosomal RNA (323 nucleotides) under uncultured eukaryote. Its description in RNAcentral is "partial 18S ribosomal RNA". It matches the Rfam family "Eukaryotic small subunit ribosomal RNA", at positions 1470 to 1796 of the family's 1831-position model. The record is from RNAcentral.